RNAcentral lists this ribosomal RNA (1300 nucleotides) under Metrobates hesperius. RNAcentral's name for it is "partial 16S ribosomal RNA". Lineage: Eukaryota; Metazoa; Arthropoda; Insecta; Hemiptera; Gerridae. The record is from RNAcentral.
AUUUACAUUAAUAAUUUUGUUGUGCAAUUCAACACAAUUUGAAACUUAUUUAUUAAUAAUUUUUUUGUUUUUGUUUUUAAUAAAAAUAUUUUGUUUUUUAGUAUUAUAUAAUUAAUAUUUUUUAUUUUUAGUUAAUUUAACUGUAAAGGUUUAUUAAUUUUCAAAAAAAAGUAGUUUUUGUUUUUUGUACCUUUUGCAUCAGGGUUUAUUAAAUUAAAAGAAUUAUUUUUUUUUCUCGAAAUUUUUAGAUUUAAGAAUUAAUGUUUUUUUUUGUUAUAAAAAAAUUUAUAAUUUUUUCUUAGAGGUUAUAUGCUUUUCAUUAAAAUUGAUAUUUAGUUUAUUAAUACUUGAAUUUAAUUCAGUUUUAAUUAGUGUUUAUUAUUAUUUAAUUUUUAACAUUUUUUAAAAAAACUUUUUUGGGGAUAAUCUUGAAUUAGUUUUUAUAAAUUUUUAAAUUAAGAUUUUUUAUAGGAUUAAAAAUUUCCUUUAUUAUAUUUUUUUAUAAUAAAUAAUCUUUAAUUAUAAUUUAUUUUAUUUUAGUUUUUUAUUAAUAUAAUUAUUAUAAUUUUUUUUAUUUUGAAAUAAUGAUAAAAUAAGUAAUUUUUUUAAUUUAAAUAUAUGAACUCGGCAAUAUAUAUAUUCACCUGUUUAUCAAAAACAUGUCCUUUUGAUUUAAUUUAAGGUCUGACCUGCCCGUUGAUAUUUAAUUAUUGAAAGGCUGCGGUAUUUUAACUGUACGAAGGUAGCAUAAUCAUUUGUCUUUUAAUUGAAGGCUAGUAUGAAUGGUUUGAUGAAAAAUAUACUUUAUUUAUUUAAUUAUUUUGAAUUUAAUUUUUUAUUUAAAAAGAUAAAAUUUUUUUAUAGGACGAGAAGACCCUUUAGAAGUUUACUUAAUUUAUUAAUUUUAAUUUUUUGUUUAUAAAAUUUAUUUUUAGAAUGUUAAGUUUUGUUGGGGUGACAUUAAAAUUUUUUUAACUUUUAAUUAUUUUUUCAUUAAUUAAUGUUUUUAUGAUCCAGAAUUUUUGAUUAUAAGUUUAACUUACCUAAGGGAUAACAGCGUAAUUUAGUUGGAGAGUUCACAUUAAUAACUAAGUUUGCGACCUCGAUGUUGAAUUAAGAUAAGUUUUGGGGGUAAAAUUUCAUUUUCUUGGUCUGUUCGACCAUUAAAUUCUUACAUGAUUUGAGUUCAGACCGGCGUGAGCCAGGUCGGUUUCUAUCCUUAUUUUAUAUAAGUUAGUACGAAAGGACCAUUUAUAUUAAUUAAAUUAUUUUUUUUUUGAAUAAUAUUAAAAAAAAAAAA